UAGGGAAUCUUCCGCAAUGGGCGAAAGCCUGACGGAGCAACGCCGCGUGAGUGAUGAAGGUCUUCGGAUCGUAAAACUCUGUUAUUAGGGAAGAACAAAUGUGUAAGUAACUAUGCACGUCUUGACGGUACCUAAUCAGAAAGCCACGGCUAACUACGUGCCAGCAGCCGCGGUAAUACGUAGGUGGCAAGCGUUAUCCGGAAUUAUUGGGCGUAAAGCGCGCGUAGGCGGUUUUUUAAGUCUGAUGUGAAAGCCCACGGCUCAACCGUGGAGGGUCAUUGGAAACUGGAAAACUUGAGUGCAGAAGAGGAAAGUGGAAUUCCAGGUGUAGCGGUGAAAUGGGGAGAGAUAUGGAGGAACACCAGUGGCGAAGGCGACUUUCUGGUCUGUAACUGACGCUGAUGUGCGAAAGCGUGGGGAUCAAACAGG
RNAcentral lists this ribosomal RNA (429 nucleotides) under Actinomycetes bacterium. Its description in RNAcentral is "Actinobacteria bacterium partial 16S ribosomal RNA". It matches the Rfam family "Bacterial small subunit ribosomal RNA", at positions 355 to 776 of the family's 1533-position model. The record is from RNAcentral. Lineage: Bacteria; Bacillati; Actinomycetota; Actinomycetes.